This 352-nucleotide ribosomal RNA is filed under the name uncultured fungus. RNAcentral describes it as "SSU rRNA". It matches the Rfam family "Eukaryotic small subunit ribosomal RNA", at positions 1326 to 1698 of the family's 1831-position model. The record is from RNAcentral. Lineage: Eukaryota; Fungi.
CGAUAACGAACGAGACCUUAACCUACUAAAUAGCUCGACUAACAUUUUGUUGGUUUGUCAGCUUCUUAGAGGGACUAUCGAUUUCAAGUCGAUGGAAGUUUGAGGCAACAACAGGUCUGUGAUGCCCUUAGACGUUCUGGGCCGCACGCGCGCUACACUGACGGAGCCAGCGAGUAUAAUCCUUGUCCGAGAGGUCUGGGUAAUCUUGUUAAACUCCGUCGUGCUGGGGAUAGAGCAUUGUAAUUAUUGCUCUUCAACGAGGAAUUCCUAGUAAGCGCGAGUCAUCAGCUUGCGUUGAAUACGUUUCUGCCCUUUGUACACACCGCCCGUCGCUACUACCGAUUGAAUGGCU